Lytechinus pictus (painted urchin) is the source of this 3327-nucleotide long non-coding RNA. RefSeq lists it as uncharacterized. The transcript is spliced from 3 exons. Lineage: Eukaryota; Metazoa; Echinodermata; Echinoidea; Temnopleuroida; Toxopneustidae. The record is from RefSeq and is a predicted model, not a curated record.
AGUUUUUAUUGCUUCUUGUCAAGGAGUAUUAGGUACAUUAUUUUGGUGUCUGUGGCAUUGUGAACCUUCUAAUGUUGAUAGGACGGCGAAUGCAUGUGGAUUAAUCAUGUUUGUUGGUGGUUCUUAUGUCUUUUUCAAAAGAUGAUAACUUCUGCUUUAUGUGAUGUCUAUUUUGUGAUUUAAGUAUUGCUGGGAACAUUGUAUGUUUGGUUCAUAGUGAAACUGUACUUAUUGAAGACUGUUUGAUAUAACGUGUCAAAUUGGUUUUACCAAGCGCCUGCAAUGAUAUGACGAGAACUGCUGAGAAUUGAUUUCCUAGGGUCAGUUUCUUCGUUGGAGAUGACAACGGUUGAUACCUGAAAUCUAGCGAGAGAUAUUGCUUCCACUGGAUCGGGCCCACUGUGCAAUUGGACUUUGAAUCUCAUCUCAUUCAUUGGUAAUUAAUUUUCAGUAGUUAAUGUUUGAUAGAAAACUGUUUUUCAUUAAAAUUGUCUAGGGAAUAUAUUUUCUGCGCUCUACAAGUGUUCUGCAUGCCAUGCGUUAUCGAUUUGCUUCAAGUUUAAAGGGAAUCUCAAUUCUGAUUGAAGAAAUAGCAUCUGAUUACAAACCUUGGAGUAGGUAUAAUGAUCACGAUAUAAUUUCAACACGAAGUCGCAUCGUCAUUCAGAAAAAAAUAUUUUCUAAUAUUAAUUGGACAACAAAAAAGAACCGAGGUCAUAGAUAUCUAUACACGUUCAUAUUUGAUUUCUUUAGAAUUCUCUUGCACUUCUUAAAUUAAACAACACCGAAAAUUCAUACGUCGUUGAUCGACUUGUCAGCACAAUGAUUAUAGCAAACCGGAAUAUUCAUUCUAUGCAAGUAUCUCGUUAUGAUUAUGGGAAUAUCAAUUCUAAAGAAAUAUUUUCUAAUAAUUGGAUUCCCUUUUCUUUCAAUCGAGUUGAUAUAUAAGGAGCAUAAUAGUAAAUCUAUAAUUUCAAAUUCUGUUUUGAAUUUUGCAGUUUUUAUCAUGCAGGUGCUAAAGGCGUUCUUGCACUAACGUGAAGAGAAAAAAAAUUGGGUAUGAAAUUAGGAUAUCAAAAUCAGUUUUGAAGAACUAGUGUUAGGGAUCUCUCUCUCUCUCUCUUUUUCUGUCUUCGAUGGUGACGAGUGAUAUAAUAUUCUUAAUUAUCUUCAUACCUCGGCUUAUCGGACAGACGCCUUGCAUACUCCCACCAAUAUUGUCUAUAUGAAGACAUUACUAUGUGUAUUCUGUACCUUUAAUUAAUUAUUCCUCCUCGUUCCCCUACAUUAAACUUUGGUUUCUUGAGUUUCAUCGUUCACUUUCAAUGAAUAAAGCUCUUCCAAAUUGCUGUAUUCCUUUCUCAAUCCCGUCAAUCAGCAUUAGGAAACACGAACCACGCUGUCUUAAACCAACUUGUCAUUUGAUUAGAUUCGCUCUUUCAAAUAAACCAAAUACUCCCUCAUUCUAUUCUCCUGUUCCCUAUAUACGUCAUCCUGUAUAUCUUAACUAUAAUUCAUUUCAUUGAACAAAUCAAUUCCAAUAUGUUUCAAUUUAGCCCGGGGCGAGUAGAUGUAGGGCUUACCGCCUUAUAAAAAAUGCAUACACAAUCCACAUCCGUGUGUGAGUUUAUAUGAGCAUGAUAACAAGAGAGCAAAAUUACUUUGAACUUGGAGUCCUAUACGGGUUGAUAUGUCUCUCUUCAAAUAUAGAUUAAUUACUGCGUAUUGACUCACAAGCAAAACAAAUUAGUUAAGGUUGCAUGCAGUGAAUGAAGGCGAAGAUUGAAGAAAAGUAAGAUACGUUUCUCGAAAAAGUAUUAUUCAGCUGCAAUUGAGUUGAAACAUGACUGAAAUUCCGAUUUUUUUUUUUAAUUUGGUAUUCCGCAGUGCUACCAAAUACUGUUUUUACAGUAUUCCUAAACUAAUGUUAUUCCUCAAUGAUUGAUCAAAAUGAAGUCACUGUGGUGAUUUGUUAGGGUAUUGAAGUGUGGGGGUGAAAGAACAAGUAUGAGAUAUUCCCCAUGAGGUUGGUACAUGUAGAUGUUAUCGAAACUAUGUCACUGGGGGAUAAGGAAUAUCAUAUUUCUGCCAGUAAUCAAUUCAAUUUGCAUUUCUUAUAUUGCAAAUCUUGAGCGAAUGUUGUCAAAAUCGAAUGGACGCUGAAAGAAUCAUAUUCUAAAAAGGAACAUUUUUAUAAGUAUUUUACUGCGUAUAUAAUGAGGUUGCGAGGGAGGGGGGAGAAAGACAGAGUCAUAUAAAUAGACAGAGAGGGAGAGAGACAGAGAGUUUAUAAACAAGGGGAAAUAUUCUUAUAGAGCAUGUAGACUGGAUAUAAAAUAUUGUUCGGGGUUGAAAAAUUGAAUAUAAAGUAAGACAUGAAAUGAAGAGACCCUUUUUCAUAAUGUUGACUAAUCACUAUAAAAGCAAUAUUGCCAUGGUAAUUUAUCACUGUUCGAAUGAGCAUAUAAAAUAGAUGAACAACGCCCGUCAACCAUGCCUUGUAAGAGAUUUCGACCAAUCUCCAUAUUUGGCUCAUUUCCGCCAGAAAAAGCUUCAUGAUAAUCGAACUUCAUUAGUAUCUGAUUAACGUGUCAACUAAAACGCCUCGAGGUGCGUCAAUAAUUGCUUUGUGGAUUGUUGUUUCUACGUAUUCCGCGUAAGUUUACAAUCGCUAUCUACUCCUUGAAAAUACAAUUCUCUCAAACUUUACCAAAAUUUGGUUUCAUUUUAGCCAAAAUCAGUGCCGGUGCCUCAGGCGGGCGGGUGAUGAUGCCUCCUACGAAUUUUACUUUUGAAAAACGUGGGCGAAUAUGAGAAAAGAAAAUGAAAGAAAGUAGCAAGAAGAGCAUGCAUGAACAAGAAAGCUUUGGUGGAUUCAAAUGGUUGUAUACAUUUAUUAUUGAAUUAAGAAAUGACAUCACCUUUAAGGGUCGUCCUGCCCCAUAGACCCCUUUCAAAAUAAUGUCAUGGGGCGCCCUGGCAAAAUAUUACUCAAGGUCCUAAUGAAGGCGGAAAGAUUUUUUUUCUUAAGUAAAAAGUAUAUUCUUAGGGUAAACCAACAUUUGCACCAUACCGUUACCGCAUAGGCCUAUUUUCGUCACUGCACUUCCUUCAAACAAUAGUAUUACCAAAAUAUGCGGUAAAUUUACCUUUACUGUCACAAAGAUGUGCAUUCGACAAGUGAGUAGCCUACAUUGUUUGGAUCACCUGCAAAUGCUCAUCAUCAUCUUCACCACACCAUAAUUGUCUUCCGUUUUGUCCAUGUCUGCUUCAAAUUAUCAGAUACGUAGUCUCGGGGGCAUACCCACCCCUCCCACCCCCCCCCCC